Molecule: ribosomal RNA, 253 nt
Filed under: uncultured bacterium
Lineage: Bacteria
Description: partial 16S ribosomal RNA
Rfam family: Bacterial small subunit ribosomal RNA
Source: RNAcentral
UACGAAGGGGGCUAGCGUUGUUCGGAAUUACUGGGCGUAAAGGGCGCGUAGGCGGCCUGCUAAGUCAUACGUGAAAUCCCUCGGCUCAACCGAGGAACUGCGUCUGAUACUGGUUGGCUUGAAUUCGGGAGAGGGAUGCGGAAUUCCAGGUGUAGCGGUGAAAUGCGUAGAUAUCUGGAGGAACACCGGUGGCGAAGGCGGCAUCCUGGACCGAGAUUGACGCUGAUGCGCGAAAGCCAGGGGAGCAAACGGG